GGGUUAGGGUUGGGCUUGGAGCUAGGAUUCUUCUGAGUGCAAUGAACCAACUCCCGAGUCUCUAGGACGUUCCUAAAAAAAUUGAUUUUUUCCCAUAGGAAUGCAUGGGUUAGGGUUAGGGUUAGGGUUGGAGCUAGGGUUAGGGUUAGGGUUAGGGUUGGAGUUAGGGUUAGUGUUGGAGCUAGGGUUAGGGUUGGGCUUGGAGCUAGGAUUUUUCUGAGUGCAAUGAACCAACUCCCGAGUCUCUAGGAUGUUCCUAAAGAAAUUUGUUUUUUUCCCAUAGGAAUGCAUGGGUUAGGGUUAGGGUUAGGGUUGGAGCUAGGGUUAGGGUUAGGGUUAGGGUUGGAGUUAGGGUUAGUGUUGGAGCUAGGGUUAGGGUUGGGCUUGGAGCUAGGAUUUUUCUGAGUGCAAUGAACCAACUCCGGAGUCUCUGGGACGUUCCUAAAAAAAUUUGAUUUUUUCCCAUAUGAAUGCAUGGGUUAGGGUUAGGGUUAGGGUUGGAGCUAGGGUUAGGGUUAGGGUUAGGGUUGGAGUUAGGGUUAGUGUUGGAGCUAGGGUUAGGGUUGGGCUUGGAGCUAGGAUUUUUCUGAGUGCAAUGAACCAACUCCCGAGUCUCUAGGACGUUCCUAAAAAAAUUUGAUUUUUUCCCAUAGGAAUGCAUGGGUUAGGGUUAGGGUUAGGGUUGGAGCUAGGGUUAGGGUUAGGGUUAGGGUUGGAGUUAGGGUUAGUGUUGGAGCUAGGGUUAGGGUUGGGCUUGGAGCUAGGAUUUUUCUGAGUGCAAUGAACCAACUCCCGAGUCUCUAGGACGUUCCUAAAAAAAUUUGAUUUUUUCCCAUAGGAAUGCAUGGGUUAGGGUUAGGGUUAGGGUUGGAGCUAGGGUUAGGGUUAGGGUUAGGGUUGGAGUUAGGGUUAGUGUUGGAGCUAGGGUUAGGGUUGGGCUUGGAGCUAGGAUUUUUCUGAGUGCAAUGAACCAACUCCCGAGUCUCUAGGACGUUCCUAAAAAAAAUUGUUUUUUUCCCAUAGGAAUGCAUGGGUUAGGGUUAGGGUUAGUGUUGGAGCUAGGGUUAGGGUUAGGGUUAGGGUUGGAGUUAGGGUUAGUGUUGGAGCUAGGGUUAGGGUUGGGCUUGGAGCUAGGAUUUUUCUGAGUGCAAUGAACCAACUCCUGAGUCUCUAGGACGUUCCUGAAAAAAUUUGAUUUUUUCCCAUAGGAAUGCAUGGGUUAGGGUUAGGGUUAGGGUUGGAGCUAGGGUUAGGGUUGGAGCUAGGGUUAGGGUUAGGGUUAGGGUUGGAGUUAGGGUUAGGGUAUGAGCUAGGGUAAGGGUUGGGCUUGGAGCUAGGAUUUUUCUGAGUGCAAUGAACCAACUCCCGAGUCUCUAGGACGUUCCUAAAAAAAUUUGUUUUUUUCCCAUAGGAAUGCAUGGGUUAGGGUUAGGGUUAGGGUUAGGGUUAGGGUUAAGGUUGGAGUUAGGGUUAGUGUUGGAGCUAGGGUUAGGGUUGGGGCUAGGGUUAGGGUUAGGGUUAGGGUUAAGGUUGGAGCUAGGGUUAGGGUUAGGGUUAGGGUUGGAGCCAGGGUUAGGGUUAGGGUUGGAGUUAGGGUUAGUGUUGGAGCUAGGGUUAGGGUUGGGCUUGGAGCUAGGAUUUUUCUGAGUGCAAUGAACCAACUCCCGAGUCUCUAGGAUGUUCCUAAAAAAAUUUGAUUUUUUUCCCAUAGGAAUGCAUGGGUUAGGGUUAGGGUUAGUGUUGGAGCUAGGGUUAGGGUUAGGGUUAGGGUUGGAGUUAGGGUUAGUGUUGGAGCUAGGGUUAGGGUUGGGCUUGGAGCUAGGAUUUUUCUGAGUGCAAUGAACCAACUCCCGAGUCUCUAGGAUGUUCCUAAAAAAAUUUGAUUUUUUCCCAUAGGAAUGCAUGGGUUAGGGUUAGGGUUAGGGUUGGAGCUAGGGUUAGGGUUAGGGUUAGGGUUGGAGUUAGUGUUAGUGUUGGAGCUAGGGUUAGGGUUGGGCUUGGAGCUAGGAUUUUUCUGAGUGCAAUGAACCAACUCCUGAGUCUCUAGGACGUUCCUAAAAAAAAUUGUUUUUUUCCCAUAGGAAUGCAUGGGUUAGGGUUAGGGUUAGGGUUGGAGCUAGGGUUAGGGUUAGGGUUAGGGUUGGAGUUAGGGUUAGUGUUGGAGCUAGGGUUAGGGUUGGGCUUGGAGCUAGGAUUUUUCUGAGUGCAAUGAACCAACUCCUGAGUCUCUAGGACGUUCCUGAAAAAAUUUGAUUUUUUCCCAUAGGAAUGCAUGGGUUAGGGUUAGGGUUAGGGUUGGAGCUAGGGUUAGGGUUGGAGCUAGGGUUAGGGUUAGGGUUAGGGUUGGAGUUAGGGUUAGGGUAUGAGCUAGGGUAAGGGUUGGGCUUGGAGCUAGGAUUUUUCUGAGUGCAAUGAACCAACUCCCGAGUCUCUAGGACGUUCCUAAAAAAAUUUGUUUUUUUCCCAUAGGAAUGCAUGGGUUAGGGUUAGGGUUAGGGUUAGGGUUAAGGUUGGAGUUAGGGUUAGUGUUGGAGCUAGGGUUAGGGUUGGGGCUAGGGUUAGGGUUAGGGUUAGGGUUAAGGUUGGAGCUAGGGUUAGGGUUAGGGUUAGGGUUGGAGCCAGGGUUAGGGUUAGGGUUGGAGUUAGGGUUAGUGUUGGAGCUAGGGUUAGGGUUGGGCUUGGAGCUAGGAUUUUUCUGAGUGCAAUGAACCAACUCCCGAGUCUCUAGGAUGUUCCUAAAAAAAUUUGAUUUUUUUCCCAUAGGAAUGCAUGGGUUAGGGUUAGGGUUAGUGUUGGAGCUAGGGUUAGGGUUAGGGUUAGGGUUGGAGUUAGGGUUAGUGUUGGAGCUAGGGUUAGGGUUGGGCUUGGAGCUAGGAUUUUUCUGAGUGCAAUGAACCAACUCCCGAGUCUCUAGGAUGUUCCUAAAAAAAUUUGAUUUUUUCCCAUAGGAAUGCAUGGGUUAGGGUUAGGGUUAGGGUUGGAGCUAGGGUUAGGGUUAGGGUUAGGGUUGGAGUUAGUGUUAGUGUUGGAGCUAGGGUUAGGGUUGGGCUUGGAGCUAGGAUUUUUCUGAGUGCAAUGAACCAACUCCUGAGUCUCUAGGACGUUCCUAAAAAAAAUUGUUUUUUUCCCAUAGGAAUGCAUGGGUUAGGGUUAGGGUUAGGGUUAAGGUUGGAGUUAGGGUUAGUGUUGGAGCUAGGGUUAGGGUUGGGGCUAGGGUUAGGGUUAGGGUUAGGGUUAAGGUUGGAGCUAGGGUUAGGGUUAGGGUUAGGGUUGGAGCCAGGGUUAGGGUUAGGGUUGGAGUUAGGGUUAGUGUUGGAGCUAGGGUUAGGGUUGGGCUUGGAGCUAGGAUUUUUCUGAGUGCAAUGAACCAACUCCCGAGUCUCUAGGAUGUUCCUAAAAAAAUUAGAUUUUUUUCCCAUAGGAAUGCAUGGGUUAGGGUUAGGGUUAGUGUUGGAGCUAGGGUUAGGGUUAGGGUUAGGGUUGGAGUUAGGGUUAGGGUAUGAGCUAGGGUUAGGGUUGGGCUUGGAGCUAGGAUUUUUCUGAGUGCAAUGAACCAACUCCCGAGUCUCUAGGAUGUUCCUAAAAAAAUUUGAUUUUUUCCCAUAGGAAUGCAUGGGUUAGGGUUAGGGUUAGUGUUGGAGCUAGGGUUAGGGUUAGGGUUAGGGUUGGAGUUAGGGUCAGUGUUGGAGCUAGGGUUAGGGUUGGGCUUGGAGCUAGGAUUUUUCUGAGUGCAAUGAACCAACUCCUGAGUC
Xyrichtys novacula (pearly razorfish) is the source of this 3752-nucleotide non-coding RNA. The record is from the annotation of a GenBank genome assembly. NCBI's taxonomy places the organism in Eukaryota, Metazoa, Chordata, Actinopteri, Labriformes, Labridae.